AUGGACAAGGUGCUGGCCUUCUCCAUCCUGAGCGCCUCGCCGGCCGACAUCGCCCCCGGCGCCAGUAACGGCGGCAGCUGGGCUCGGCUGUCCUGGCGGGGAAGGAAGCUACAGCAGAAUGCGGCGGCGGCAGGCCGUCGACGGUGGAAACUCGGCGAGGUCCAGCCGGGGAGAUGGAAAAGGGCAGAGCAACGGCCCGAGAAAGGGAAAUCGCAGUGAUCGUCGACGUUGCGUCCGCGGUUCGUGCCGGAGUUCGACGGAAUCGACUGCUUCGAGACCAUCGUGAGCCAUUGA
This 294-nucleotide ribosomal RNA is filed under the name Triticum aestivum (bread wheat). Its description in RNAcentral is "partial small subunit ribosomal RNA". The record is from RNAcentral. Lineage: Eukaryota; Viridiplantae; Streptophyta; Magnoliopsida; Poales; Poaceae.